This 70-nucleotide transfer RNA is filed under the name Nelumbo nucifera (sacred lotus). It matches the Rfam family "tRNA". From Rfam's summary of the family: Transfer RNA (tRNA) molecules are approximately 80 nucleotides in length. Their secondary structure includes four short double-helical elements and three loops (D, anti-codon, and T loops). Further hydrogen bonds mediate the characteristic L-shaped molecular structure. tRNAs have two regions of fundamental functional importance: the anti-codon, which is responsible for specific mRNA codon recognition, and the 3' end, to which the tRNAs corresponding amino acid is attached (by aminoacyl-tRNA synthetases). tRNAs cope with the degeneracy of the genetic code in two manners: having more than one tRNA (with a specific anti-codon) for a particular amino acid; and 'wobble' base-pairing, i.e. permitting non-standard base-pairing at the 3rd anti-codon position. Lineage: Eukaryota; Viridiplantae; Streptophyta; Magnoliopsida; Proteales; Nelumbonaceae. The record is from Rfam by way of RNAcentral.
GGGUGUAUAGCUUAGGUAGAGUAUUGGGCUUUUAACCUAAUGGUCGCAGGUUCGAGUCCUUCUAUACCCA